AGAUUGAACGCUGGCGGCAUGCCUUACACAUGCAAGUCGAACGGCAGCACGGGAGCAAUCCUGGUGGCGAGUGGCGAACGGGUGAGUAAUAUAUCGGAACGUGCCCAGUCGUGGGGGAUAACGUAGAGAAAUUUACGCUAAUACCGCAUACGAUCCAAGGAUGAAAGCGGGGGACCGUAAGGCCUCGCGCGACUGGAGCGGCUGAUAUCAGAUUAGCUUGUUGGUGAGGUAAAAGCUCACCAAGGCGACGAUCUGUAGCUGGUUUGAGAGAACGACCAGCCACACUGGGACUGAGACACGGCCCAGACCUCCUACGGGAGGCAG
This 324-nucleotide ribosomal RNA is filed under the name uncultured soil bacterium. RNAcentral describes it as "bacterial SSU rRNA". It matches the Rfam family "Bacterial small subunit ribosomal RNA", at positions 26 to 351 of the family's 1533-position model. The record is from RNAcentral.